This 2281-nucleotide ribosomal RNA is filed under the name Triticum aestivum (bread wheat). RNAcentral describes it as "partial small subunit ribosomal RNA". Lineage: Eukaryota; Viridiplantae; Streptophyta; Magnoliopsida; Poales; Poaceae. The record is from RNAcentral.
GGUGCCGUAUGUUACAGUUCACAGCCCAUUAUUUGUAACGUGCAUCCGGUAGUACAUCCGAUAGACCAAAGUUUACCGUGAAAGUCUUUGCCAGCAAAUGGGCAACCGACUUACCAGGACAGUAGGUCGCCACGCACGUUAAUUCGACUUUCAGUUCGGACAUGUGUCCACCUUGCCACAGCAAAGGAAAACCUUUUUACGGUGACCAUCAUUGAUCAGUGAUGGUGGAGAUGAGAAUUGUGCCGUGCCUUGCCCUUUCCGUUCAAGCAAGAUCGACUUGGGGGUCCUCCAACGAGGCAGCGGCAGCGCAGAGAACGGUACGUGACAAGCUGCGUAAUGUAGCUCGAAAUGUGCACGCAAGGUGCUCAUGCUUGUCAUGGUUAUCUUGCUUCUGUGAUAGAAGUGGAACCGCAAGUUGGCAAGCCAUUUAGUGGGUCGCACAAGCUAGCUGGAAUAUCUUAAUUUUUUCACGAAUACACAAAGCUUUGCGUAUCAUUUCAUUGAUAGAAAAAGUUAAGAGUGAGAACAAGAAGUGAUACAAAACGCAUGCCACGAACGCAGAAGGUGUGAGCAUGGUGCCAGUAGCAGAGGGACAAGUAAUGCCCGGCCCAAAACAGAGAAAAUAACAUGGCAAAACUUGCCUCCUAGGGAAGCAGCCCGACCCAAAACAAACCAUGACGACCAACUUCUCUAGAUCCUGUUAGGAUUUAAUUAAUCCUAUUAAUUCCUGCUUUUUCUAAUCGAGGCGGUUGUCUCGUGUUCCUUCGGACGCACCCUUUUAAGGGCUAUAUAUAUGUGUGUAAUUCCAUCAUCAAUGAGAACAACGAUUCACUUUUACUUCUCUGUCUUCCUCUCUCUCUCGUUUCUUUUCAACACGUUAUCAGCACGCUCUCGGCAGAGCGGCUACCGGCCUCAUGGGGCGACACAGAACGGGGAAGACCGAGGCCGGCGACGUCUCGAAGAGCAGCAGCGACGCUCCCCGGCAGACGACGCGGCCCUCGUCUUGCAUCUGGCGCAGAUCGGCAGGCCUCGGCCAGUCCUCCACAGCGAUGCCCUUGGUCCCGUGAUCCCGUCGCUACCCCCGGCGAGGCCCUUCCCACGCGCGGGGCCCGCCUUACUCGGGGGCGGCCACGGCCAUGACCAAUCCCGGUGCGGCGCGCAGCCCCGCAUCAACGGCAGUGCCUGCGACCGGCCCUCCACCUCGACUCCAUGCCACGACGCCCCCCAGCAACUCCAGUGAUUUUCAACUCGAACGAGGAAAAUCCAAAGGGGAAGAAGAACUGAAUCGGAGUCAAGCACCACGCAAACAUCAGCGUCUUCGUCUAAUAAACAAGCUGCUACUUUACUAAUUUCGUUCCUGGCUACAAAAUAAUUGCUUUCCCAUGAACAGGAAGCCAUCAAGCAAGUCUUACCCGGGCGAGGCCCCAUGCCUGGUGCUCGAGUCCACUGCCAACGGCAGCGGUCGGCGUCGCCUUGGCGCACGACGUCGGAGGCGGCUCCCUGCGGGGCAGCGCCCUCCGGCGCGCGGCACCCAGCCUGGUGAUGCAUCUCGUCCCUCCAACGCUAGGCACGACGACGCUCCCAUCGGCGCGGCUCCAAUCGACGGAACCUGCGCAUGGCGGUGCCCGCGACCACGGCUUAUGGCACACGCCGCUGCACCCUCGAUCUGUAGAGAGGCGCGGAGCAGUGGACCAUGGCGCGGAUGUAGGGCUUCAACUCCCCGACGAGCGGCGCCCUCCGGCGUGGCUGCUCGGGGCCACGGCCCCUCCCGUGAAGGAGAUGGGACGGCCAGAUAGCGAUGCCCUCAGGCGCGCGCGACGUGGCCUGGCCCUCCAGCGCGGUACCCUCUGCGGCGUCGACAGAGCGGUUCCGUAUAUACUGGCGAUGCGGCGCUGCUAGCGCAUGGCACGGCGGCGCACAGUGCGAGCGUCUCCCGGCGGUAGCGGUUAUCAGGGACUGCACGAGAAAAAAAAGAGAACCUUAUCUCUUCGGCAGUUUUCACUUCAGACCUUGUGGUUUCCUAUAAUCACAAAUGACUGCCUACAAUUCUCUCACGCAUGAUAGCCUAUUUUUCUGUUUGAGUUUUAACAUUUCAGAAAAUAUAUGGUUAUUGUAUGUGGCAUGUUCAAUGUGUUUGCUUUUUAGCAAUUCCUAUAACAUGUUCCAUUAGUACAAUGACAUUGUUUUGCGAUUGAGAUUAAGUUUUCUCGCACAACAUUUGCGAUUGAGAAAUUUUCUUUUUCUCGCAAAAAAAAUCUCAUUGCGGUCGAGAUCAGUUUUC